Leptonychotes weddellii (Weddell seal) is the source of this 3972-nucleotide non-coding RNA. Lineage: Eukaryota; Metazoa; Chordata; Mammalia; Carnivora; Phocidae. The record is from RefSeq and is a predicted model, not a curated record.
CCGUACAGCGCAGGCGUAGUCCCGUGGUAACCCGGUCACCUUGGAGCAUUAGGAUGUUCACCAAAAGCCGUCUCCGCUUCGGUCGGCUCUUCUCUCUCCCGGCCCUUAAAGGGUCUGGGGACCAAGCAAGCACCCAAUGUAGCGUUUGGCUCUCUCCUCCUCUCGUUCGCCCAAGCCUGUCGUCCCUUCUAGAUCAAAGUCAGUCGCUGGGGCCAGAAGUCUGGGAAAGCCGGCUCUUUGAGUACACGCCCCCUCCACUGCAAAGACAGUAUUGGUUCCUAAUGAAAGCAGUUCUUCGUCGGGCGCUCGUAACCAAGAAAAAGUGGCCAACUAAAUCCCUCGAAACGCAAGUUUGGGCCUGGAAAACCCAGUAGUAAGUGCAGAUUUGCUAGUCCUUAAGGACCUGGAGAGGACUCCGUUUCCCAGGACCUGACAGUGGUGAAGUCCUGGCUGUAAUUUAGAAAAACGUCCAAUCGGCGUUUUAAAAAAGACUGCCCUUGGCCUUGCCCUGAGCGCUGAAAGUCAGUCGGAUUGACUGGGAAGCCAUGGAAGCUGCUGGGAAAGAGGAAAUCAGUGUUGAAGGUGAAGCUGUGGAUAAAAACAUUUUCAAAGAUUGCAGCAAGAUUGCUUUCUACAGGCGUCAGAAACAGCAGCUCUCCAGGAGAGCCACCUAUCAGGCAUCACUAGACUCAGCCACAAUAGGCAAAGACAGCACCAAGUUCCAAAUCAUCAGUGAAACAACCAAGGUUUCUCUUCUGGCUGAAGUUUAUGGUAUAGAGGGAAAUAUUUUCAGGCUUAAAAUCAAUGAAGAAACUCCCGUGAAACCCAGGUAUGAAGUUCCUGAUGUCCUCACAAGCAAGCCCAGCACUGUAAGGCUGAUUUCAUGUUCAGGGGAUGCAGAUAGUUUGGUAUUGACAGAUGGAAAAGGAGAUCUGAAGUGUAAUAUCACAGCAAACCCAUUCAAGAUAGAUUUGGUGUCUGAAGAAGAGGUUGUGAUGAGCAUAAACUCCCUGGGCCAGUUGUACUUCGAGCACCUGCAGAUUCCUCUCAAGCAAAGAGCUGCCAAAGAAAAUAAGAAGGACACAUCAGUGGACGCUUCUCAGGAAGACCAAGAGGAUCUGGGCCUGUGGGAGGAGAAAUUCGGAAAAUUUGUGGAUGUCAAAGUUAAUGGUCCUGCCUCCAUUGGUUUGGAUUUCUCCUUGCAUGGAUUUGAGCAUCUCUAUGGGAUCCCGCAACAUGCAGAAUCACACCAACUUAAAAAUACGAGUGAUGGCGAUGCUUACCGUCUUUAUAACCUGGAUGUCUAUGGAUAUAAAAUACAUGACAAAAUAGGCAUUUAUGGUUCAGUGCCUUAUCUCCUGGCCCACAAACUUGGCAGGACUCUAGGCAUUUUUUGGCUCAAUGCUUCCGAAACACUGGUGGAGAUCAAUACAGAGCCUGCAGUAAAGUACACACAGACCCAGAUGGGCCCUGUUGCAGCUAAACAAAAGGUCAGAUGUCGAACUGAUGUGCACUGGAUGUCAGAGAGUGGAAUCAUUGAUGUUUUUCUGCUGACAGGACCUACGCCUUCUGACGUUUUCAAGCAGUACUCAUACCUUACAGGCACACAAGCCAUGCCCCCUCUCUUCUCCUUGGGGUACCAUCAGUGCCGCUGGAACUAUGAGGACGAGCAGGAUGUAAAAGAGGUGGAUGCAGGAUUUGAUGAACAUGACAUUCCUUAUGAUGUCAUGUGGCUCGACAUAGAGCAUACUGAGGGCAAAAGGUACUUCACUUGGGACAAGAAAAGAUUUCCAAACCCCAAAAGGAUGCAAGAGCUGCUCAGAAGCAAAAACCGUAAGCUUGUGGUCAUCAGUGACCCCCACAUCAAGAUCGAUCCUAACUACUCAGUGUAUGUUAAGGCCAAAGAACAGGGCUUCUUUGUGAGGAAUCAUGAAGGAGGAGACUUUGAAGGAGUAUGCUGGCCUGGUCUCUCCUCUUACCUGGAUUUCACCAAUCCCAAGGUCAGAGAGUGGUAUUCAGGUCUUUUCACUUUCUCUGCUUAUCAGGGAUCUACUGACAUCCUCUACAUAUGGAACGACAUGAAUGAGCCCUCUGUCUUUAGAGGGCCAGAGCUAACCAUGCAGAAGAAUGCCAUUCAUCAUGGCAAUUGGGAGCACAGGGAACUGCACAACAUCUAUGGUUUUUAUCAGCAAAUGGCUACCGCAGAAGGACUAAUACAACGAUCUAAGGGAAAGGAGAGACCCUUUGUUCUUACACGUUCUUUCUUUGCUGGAUCACAAAAGUAUGCUGAUGUAGGCGGCUUCGUCGGGAAUCCAGAGGCGGAGCUGCUAGUGCGAUGGUACCAGGCUGGGGCCUACCAGCCCUUCUUCCGUGGCCACGCUGCCAUGAACACCAAGCGGCGGGAACCCUGGCUCUUUGGGGAGGAACACACCCGGCUCAUCCGAGAAGCCAUCCGGCAGCGGUACACCCUCCUGCCCUAUUGGUAUUCUCUGUUCUACCGCGCGCAUGUGGCUGCUCAGCCCGUCAUGAGACCUCUGUGGAUAGAGUUCCCAGAGGAACUAGACACUUUCGGGGUGGAAGAUGAAUACAUGCUGGGAAGUGCUUUAUUGGUUCAUCCAGUCACAGAACCAAAAGCCAGCACAGUUGAUGUGUUUCUGCCAGGAUCAAAUGAGGUCUGGUAUGACUAUAAAACAUUUGCUCAUUGGGCAGGGGCACGUACUGUGAAGAUCCCGGUAGCCUUAGACACCAUACCGGUAUUUCAGCGAGGUGGAAGUAUAGUACCAAUAAAGACGACUAUAGGAAAAUCCACAGGCUACAUGACUGAUUCCCCAUAUGGACUCCGAGUGGCUCUAAGCACUAAGGAUUCUGCCAUGGGUGAAUUCUAUCUCGACGACGGCCAUUCAUUCCAAUACCUCCACCAGAAGCAAUUCUUGCAUAGGAAGUUUUCAUUCUUGUCAGGUGUUUUGAUCAACAGUUGUGCCGACAAAAGAGGUCAUUAUCCCAGCAAGUGUGUGGUGGAGCAGAUCUUUGUCCUAGGCCUCAAGAAGCAGCCAUCUUCUGUGACCACCCGUUCAUCUGAUGGUAAAGAUGAGCCUGUGGCUUUUACAUAUUGUGCCCAAAUGUCCACCCUGCGGCUGGAAAAGCUGUCGCUGAACAUCGGCGCUGACUGGGAGGUCCACGUCCGAUGAUGGUGCAGUGUACCCGGGGCGAGCGUGGGAAGCAGCCUGCACCUUUCAGCCUUGCCCUUGGCCUCUUCUGAGAUCUGUGCUGCAUGCUAAUUGACUUCUCUGGCUAAAAAGUAUCCAUUGAUCAGCAGCUUACUAAUGAGAAUAGACUUCAGGUUUUACAUUUUUAGAGGCUCCGAUAUGGCUUGGCAUGGGCUAGAACAUUCCAACAGCCCAGUCCCUCAGGAGCCGCCGGGGACCGCCCGCGGCCGGCUGCAGCAUCUGUGGGGCGACCCCGAGUCCUCGGCGCUCCUACACCAGUGCGCGUUUUCACGUGUCCUUCACCCAGCAGCUUGCCGACUGCCACUUCUGUGCCUUGUGGUCCCUGGGCCGCCGUACCCACCCCCUUCCCCCCCAAUGCAAACCUUACCAUCCCUUCAGGCCCCACCCAAAUGCCGCUGUUCCACUAAGCCUUUCUAACUACCCUAAAGACCCCGAGCCCCUGUACCCGUGAGCAGUGAUGUUGCCCAUCUGUGAAAUGUUGCUGCACUUACAAUGUGUGUUCUACUUCGCAUUCUCAGGGGUGGUCCCUUAACGUUUCAGUCUUGUCUGUCUUGUUGCCUGGCUAGAGUGCAUGUUCCUUAAGAGCACGUUACAUUUGUCUUCUGUCGGCCAGAGCAGCGUUAUCCUUGGCUUUCACCAACUAUUGGCUACAAGUGGUUAUCUGAUGAAUUUGGUUGAUUAAAAAAUGAGAAUUGGGGCGCUUGGGUGGCUCAGCCGUUGAGCGUCUCCCUUCGGCUCAGGUCAU